Molecule: ribosomal RNA, 253 nt
Filed under: uncultured bacterium
Lineage: Bacteria
Description: partial 16S ribosomal RNA
Rfam family: Bacterial small subunit ribosomal RNA
Source: RNAcentral
GACAGAGGUGCCAAGCGUUAGGCGGAAUCACUGGGCUUAAAGCGUGUGUAGGCGGGUGCCUAAGUACCUUGUGAAAUCCCACGGCUCAACCGUGGAACUGCUGGGUAUACUGGGUGCCUUGGGUCAUCUAGGGGCUGCCGGAACAAAUGGUGGAGCGGUGAAAUGCGUAGAUAUCAUUUGGAACGCCAACGGCGAAAGCAGGCAGCUGGGGAUGCACCGACGCUGAGACACGAGAGCCAGGGGAGCGAACGGG